AUACGGAGGAUGCGAGCGUUAUCCGGAUUUAUUGGGUUUAAAGGGAGCGUAGGCGGGAGCUUAAGUCAGCGGUUAAAUGGUGCGGCUCAACCGUGCCCUGCCGUUGAAACUGGGUUUCUUGAGAGUGCAAGAGGCGGAUGGAAUUCAUGGUGUAGCGGUGGAAUGCUUAGAUAUCAUGAAGAACUCCGAUUGCGAAGGCAGUCCGCUGGGGCACGUCUGACGCUGAUGCUCGAAGGUGCGGGAAUCAAACAGGAUUAGAUACCCUGGUAGUCCGCACGGUAAACGAUGAUUACCCGCUGUCGGCGGCAGACAGUCGGCGGCCAAGCGAAAGCGAUAAGUAAUCCACCUGGGGAGUACGCCGGCAACGAUGAAACUCAAAUGAAUUGACGGGG
RNAcentral lists this ribosomal RNA (392 nucleotides) under uncultured bacterium. Its description in RNAcentral is "partial 16S ribosomal RNA". It matches the Rfam family "Bacterial small subunit ribosomal RNA", at positions 523 to 918 of the family's 1533-position model. The record is from RNAcentral.